UGUUGACAGAAUGUGAUGGUGGAUUAUUAUCAGUUAGUAGUAUAUUUAUACUUUAUUAUUCUCAUCUCUCUCCUCCUAUCCUUUCUUUCAUUUUCUCUCUCGUAGGAGUGUAGCUUUAAAAGACUCUCAUGUAUUUAAUUUUGAGCAGGAGUUAGAAUCCUUACAAGAGGCCCACAGGUCAAUGGUGGCCAGUACUGCAAGGAAAGGGAAACUGGAAUUAGUAAUGAGACAAAAGUUAGAAUAGGAAUUGAAGCAAUACAGAGAAUAACUGGACAGCUCCUCCAACUCAGUGGGGACUGCAGCUUCCACUUCCCCUAAAGCCAUGAUCAUUCUCUCCUAUCUUGGGGAAGAUAGCAGAUAAAAUAAAAGGAGGCAAAUUCAUUGAAAUGAAAGAGCUCAUGCCAGACAACGCUGCCCUCAAAUCCCAAUGGGCGGAUUCGGGCUCCAGCGCAACAAAC
Long non-coding RNA from Amphimedon queenslandica, 458 nucleotides. RefSeq lists it as uncharacterized. Lineage: Eukaryota; Metazoa; Porifera; Demospongiae; Haplosclerida; Niphatidae. The transcript is spliced from 2 exons. The record is from RefSeq and is a predicted model, not a curated record.